UGUCUUUUUGAGUUAUAUUUAAAGUCUAACCUGCCCACUGAGUAUUAAAUGGCCGCAGUAUACUAACUGUGCAAAGGUAGCAUAAUAAUUAGUCUUUUAAUUGAAGGCUGGAAUGAAUGGUUGGACGAAAUAUAAACUGUUUCAUAAUAAUUUAACUUAGAACUUUAUUUUUUAGUCAAAAAGCUAAAAUAUUUUUAAAAGACGAGAAGACCCUAUAAAGCUUUAUAAAUAAGUAUAUAAAAAUUUAUAAGAUAUAUUGUAUUUUUAUAUAUUUAUUUAUUUUAUUGGGGUGAUAUUAAAAUUUAAUAAACUUUUAAUUAAUUAGUACACUAAUGCGUGAAUUAAUGAUCCACAUGAGUGAUUAAAAAUUUAAGUUACUUUAGGGAUAACAGCGUAAUUUUUUUGGAGAGUUCAUAUCGAUAAAAAAGAUUGCGACCUCGAUGUUGGAUUAAGGAAUAAGUUUAGGCGCAGCCGUUUAAAUGAUAAGUCUGUUCGACUUUUAAACCCUUACAUGAUCUGAGUU
RNAcentral lists this ribosomal RNA (523 nucleotides) under Elgiva cucularia. RNAcentral's name for it is "partial 16S ribosomal RNA". It matches the Rfam family "Bacterial large subunit ribosomal RNA", at positions 1824 to 2611 of the family's 2925-position model. Lineage: Eukaryota; Metazoa; Arthropoda; Insecta; Diptera; Sciomyzidae. The record is from RNAcentral.